UAGUGAUAAAGGCAAACCCAUCGAAAGAUGGCGACGCAAAGCUACAGGGGCUUCAGCGAUGAUACUCGCUAUGCCAGCCAGUUACCGAU
This 89-nucleotide non-coding RNA is filed under the name Paenibacillus dendritiformis. RNAcentral's name for it is "c-di-GMP sequence". It matches the Rfam family "c-di-GMP-I riboswitch aptamer". From Rfam's summary of the family: GEMM was predicted in a large-scale screen for bacterial structured RNA regulatory elements. The record is from RNAcentral. Lineage: Bacteria; Bacillati; Bacillota; Bacilli; Caryophanales; Paenibacillaceae. RNAcentral also lists the same sequence under 1 other name.